UUUUUUCCUAUAUUAAUGUCACUUUAUAAUGACUCUUCAGGUCUGCCAACUGUUACCAGGUGUCUCUGCUUUCCAUCCUCCAAAAUUUGGCUCCUUUGAUAUCUUCUUUAACUUUCUUUAUCCAUAGGGUUCAUGGCACUUUCCCUCAAAAUAGCUUUGAUGUAAUUAUAGAGGGAAAAGUUAAGAAAGAUCAAAAUUAGACAUGUUUUAUUCUAUUAAUUUUUUCUAGAAGCUUCCGUUUCUUGCACUUUUGAUAAUUUCAUCACGUUCCUAAUGGUUACCAGUUAUUUGGGGAAGUUGGUUGUUCAGGCGAAAGGGACAGCUCUAACCUAUUUUCUUCCCACCUUUCCUUGUGCCUUGCUGGGGCUAGAGCUCGGUGGUAGAACAUGGGUUCCCCAAGCCCUGAGGUCAAUCCCCAACAUAAAAAAAAAAGAGUUAGUUGUAGCCACCAACCAACCAAGUCAUGUGGAAAAGUAAGCUAUUAGUAUUGAGAAGAGGCCCACUCAAGAAAGACAGCUCUUGAAUGAGAGAAGAAACUGGGCGUGGUUGCCUGUGCCUAUAAUCCAGACUUCUCCAGAGGCUGAGACACGGGAAUGGCAAGUUCAAGGCUAGCCUAGAGAACAUAGAAGAUCCCAUCUCAAAAACUAAAACUUAUAAAAGGAUGGGGGAAAGGUUUUUAUAAAUCCAGAGUGGUGUCAUUGGAAUGUAAGGAUUUUUGAAGAGCAACCAGCUUUCUUGGAUUAUAGAACCAGAAAGAAACUGAAAUGCUUUCUCUUUU
This 778-nucleotide long non-coding RNA is filed under the name Marmota monax (woodchuck). The record is from RNAcentral. Lineage: Eukaryota; Metazoa; Chordata; Mammalia; Rodentia; Sciuridae.